GAUGAACGCUGGCGGCGUGCCUAAUACAUGCAAGUCGAGCGAACAGACGAGGAGCUUGCUCCUUCGACGUUAGCGGCGGACGGGUGAGUAACACGUAGGUAACCUACCUAUAAGACUGGGAUAACUUCGGGAAACCGGAGCUAAUACCGGAUAAUAUUUCGAACCGCAUGGUUCGAUAGUGAAAGAUGGCUUUGCUAUCACUUAUAGAUGGACCUGCGCCGUAUUAGCUAGUUGGUAAGGUAACGGCUUACCAAGGCAACGAUGCGUAGCCGACCUGAGAGGGUGAUCGGCCACACUGGAACUGAGACACGGUCCAGACUCCUACGGGAGGCAGCAGUAGGGAAUCUUCCGCAAAGGGCGAAAGCCUGACGGAGCAACGCCGCGUGAGUGAUGAAGGUCUUAGGAUCGUAAAACUCUGUUAUUAGGGAAGAACAAACGUGUAAGUAACUGUGCACGUCUUGACGGUACCUAAUCAGAAAGCCACGGCUAACUACGUG
This 497-nucleotide ribosomal RNA is filed under the name uncultured bacterium. Its description in RNAcentral is "partial 16S ribosomal RNA". It matches the Rfam family "Bacterial small subunit ribosomal RNA", at positions 28 to 507 of the family's 1533-position model. The record is from RNAcentral.